UAGGCAUUGAUGGCGAGGCUGGGCAGCACCAGGAACGAGAUGCUGAGACCACACCACCACUGUUCUCCUGCCAGGCACAGGUUCGCGGCCACCACCACGCUGGACACCUGGUCGGCCACGUACAGCAGCAGUUUCAACUGUUUCAAGAAAGAAAUAUCAAGAAUGGUCACUCUUUCAUCCCUUUCAGUGGGUGACUGCAGCUCAGCCUGUUUCCUGUUUUCUAUUUCCUACUAGGUGAGCUGCGUCAGGAGAGGAGUACUCGCAUCAAGACAUUUCAGUGGAGAUGCUGUUGUCUCUGAAAAUCAAUGCUAUUAUCGAAAUAGAAACUUCUGUAAUAC
Portunus trituberculatus (swimming crab) is the source of this 338-nucleotide long non-coding RNA. RefSeq lists it as uncharacterized. The transcript is spliced from 2 exons. NCBI's taxonomy places the organism in Eukaryota, Metazoa, Arthropoda, Malacostraca, Decapoda, Portunidae. The record is from RefSeq and is a predicted model, not a curated record.